Molecule: ribosomal RNA, 253 nt
Filed under: uncultured bacterium
Lineage: Bacteria
Description: partial 16S ribosomal RNA
Rfam family: Bacterial small subunit ribosomal RNA
Source: RNAcentral
UACGUAGGGUGCGAGCGUUGUCCGGAAUUACUGGGCGUAAAGGGCUCGUAGGCGGUCCAUCGCGUCGGGGGUGAAAAGCUGGGGCUCAACCCCAGUCCUGCUUCCGAUACGGGUGGACUAGAGGUAUGCAGGGGAGAACGGAAUUCCUGGUGUAGCGGUGAAAUGCGCAGAUAUCAGGAGGAACACCGGUGGCGAAGGCGGUUCUCUGGGCAUUACCUGACGCUGAGGAGCGAAAGCGUGGGGAGCAAACAGG